CCUACGGGAGGCAGCAGUAGGGAAUCUUCCGCAAUGGACGAAAGUCUGACGGAGCAACGCCGCGUGAACGAUGAAGGCCUUCGGGUCGUAAAGUUCUGUUGUUAGGGAAGAACAAGUGCUAGUUGAAUAAGCUGGCACCUUGACGGUACCUAACCAGAAAGCCACGGCUAACUACGUGCCAGCAGCCGCGGUAAUACGUAGGUGGCAAGCGUUGUCCGGAAUUAUUGGGCGUAAAGCGCGCGCAGGCGGUUUCUUAAGUCUGAUGUGAAAGCCCCCGGUUCAACCGGGGAGGGUCAUUAGAAACUGGGAAACUUGAGUGCAGAAGAGGAAAGUGGAAUUCCAAGUGUAGCGGUGAAAUGCGUAGAGAUUUGGAGGAACACCAGUGGCGAAGGCGACUUUCUGGUCUGUAACUGACGCUGAGGCGCGAAAGCGUGGGGAGCAAACAGGAUUAGAUACCCUGGUAGUCCACGCUGUAAACGAUGAGUGCUAAGUGUUAGAGGGUUUCCGCCCUUUAGUGCUGAAAGUUAACGCAUUAAGCACUCCGCCUGGGGAUACGGUCGCAAGACUGAAACUUAANGAAUGACGNNGAGAGNGCGAGACGACACGAGGAGAG
RNAcentral lists this ribosomal RNA (613 nucleotides) under uncultured bacterium. RNAcentral describes it as "bacterial SSU rRNA". It matches the Rfam family "Bacterial small subunit ribosomal RNA", at positions 338 to 939 of the family's 1533-position model. The record is from RNAcentral.